GGCGGGAUGGCUCAGUCGGUAGAGCAGGUGAAUCAUAAUCACUUGGUCGGGGGUUCGAGUCCCUCUCCCGCUA
Molecule: transfer RNA, 73 nt
Filed under: Spirochaetes bacterium GWF1_51_8
Lineage: Bacteria; Pseudomonadati; Spirochaetota
Description: tRNA-Met
Rfam family: tRNA
About the family: Transfer RNA (tRNA) molecules are approximately 80 nucleotides in length. Their secondary structure includes four short double-helical elements and three loops (D, anti-codon, and T loops).
Source: RNAcentral